Non-coding RNA from Gorilla gorilla gorilla (western lowland gorilla), 147 nucleotides. It matches the Rfam family "Metazoan signal recognition particle RNA". Rfam says of the family: The signal recognition particle (SRP) is a universally conserved ribonucleoprotein. It is involved in the co-translational targeting of proteins to membranes. NCBI's taxonomy places the organism in Eukaryota, Metazoa, Chordata, Mammalia, Primates, Hominidae. The record is from Rfam.
GCUGGGUGUGGUGGUGCGCGCAUGUAGUCCCAGCUACUUGGGGGCUGAGGCAGGAAGAUCACUUGAGCCCAGAAGGUUGAGGCUGCAGUGAGCCAUGUUCGUGCCACUGCACUCCAGCCUGAGCAACAAAGUGAGACCCUGUCUCCU